CCUACGGGGGGCAGCAGUGAGGAAUAUUGGUCAAUGGACGAGAGUCUGAACCAGCCAAGUAGCGUGAAGGAUGACUGCCCUAUGGGUUGUAAACUUCUUUUAUAUGGGAAUAAAACGUUCCACGCGUGUGAUUUUGUAUGCACCAUAUGAAUUAGGAUCGGCUAACUCCGUGCCAGCAGCCGCGGUAAUACGGAGGAUUCCAGCGUUAUCCGGAUUUAUUGGGUUUAAAGGGAGCGUAGUUGGAGUGUUAAGUCAGUUGUGAAAGUUAGGGGCUCAACCGUAGAAGUGCAGUUGAAACUGGCAGUCGUGAGUGCAGUAGAGGUGAGCGGAAUUCGUGGUGUAGCGGUGAAAUGCUUAGAUAUCACGAAGAACUCCGAUUGCGAAGGCAGUUCACUGGACUGCAACUGACACUGAGGCUCGAAAGUGUGGGUAUCAAACAGGAUUAGAUACCCGGGUAGUC
Molecule: ribosomal RNA, 460 nt
Filed under: uncultured bacterium
Lineage: Bacteria
Description: partial 16S ribosomal RNA
Rfam family: Bacterial small subunit ribosomal RNA
Source: RNAcentral